AGAGAUGGAUUGGUGCCUUCGGGAACUCUGAGACAGGUGCUGCAUGGCUGUCGUCAGCUCGUGUUGUGAAAUGUUGGGUUAAGUCCCGCAACGAGCGCAACCCUUAUCCUUUGUUGCCAGCGGUUAGGCCGGGAACUCAAAGGAGACUGCCAGUGAUAAACUGGAGGAAGGUGGGGAUGACGUCAAGUCAUCAUGGCCCUUACGAGUAGGGCUACACACGUGCUACAAUGGCGCAUACAAAGAGAAGCGACCUCGCGAGAGCAAGCGGACCUCAUAAAGUGCGUCGUAGUCCGGAUUGGAGUCUGCAACUCGACUCCAUGAAGUCGGAAUCGCUAGUAAUCGUGGAUCAGAAUGCCACGGUGAAUACGUUCCCGGGCCUUGUACACACCGCCCGUCACACCAUGGGAGUGGGUUGCAAAAGAAGUAGGUAGCUUAACCUUCGGGAGGGCGCUUACCACUUUGUGAUUCAUGACUGGGGUGAAGUCGUAACAAGGUAGGCGUAGUGCU
This 507-nucleotide ribosomal RNA is filed under the name uncultured bacterium. RNAcentral describes it as "bacterial SSU rRNA". It matches the Rfam family "Bacterial small subunit ribosomal RNA", at positions 1002 to 1509 of the family's 1533-position model. The record is from RNAcentral.